Marmota flaviventris (yellow-bellied marmot) is the source of this 336-nucleotide non-coding RNA. The record is from RefSeq and is a predicted model, not a curated record. NCBI's taxonomy places the organism in Eukaryota, Metazoa, Chordata, Mammalia, Rodentia, Sciuridae.
CUUGACCCUCCUCGGAGCGGACGCCGAGCCUGUCCAGCCCGGGCAGCGCCUCCCGCAAGCCCCACGGCUUCCGCCGACAGCCCGCGGUGCCGGGGCGGGGACGAGGGUCGCCGGAAGUGCUGCGGGCCCCGGGAUCCCGGCCCGCGCCCCCGCGGCUUCAUGAAACCUGGGAACGCAGGUGCUGGAGAGAGACCCAGGACCUCCUGCAUGCUAGGUGACCUCUGUACCACAGAGCCCCACCCCCUGCCCUGAAACCAGCGAAGUAAUCCCAAAAUGUCCAUAUAACUUAAAAUGAAUUAGAAGAGGCAUAAAUAAAAUAUCUGAAAAAGAACAAAA